GUUACGAUUUGAUGCAAGGUUAAGCAGUAAAUGUGGAGCCGUAGCGAAAGCGAGUCUGAAUAGGGCGUUUAGUAUUUGGUCGUAGACCCGAAACCAGGUGAUCUACCCUUGGUCAGGUUGAAGUUCAGGUAACACUGAAUGGAGGACCGAACCGACUUACGUUGAAAAGUGAGCGGAUGAACUGAGGGUAGCGGAGAAAUUCCAAUCGAACCUGGAGAUAGCUGGUUCUCUCCGAAAUAGCUUUAGGGCUAGCCUCAAGUGAUGAUUAUUGGAGGUAGAGCACUGUUUGGACGAGGGGCCCCUCUCGGGUUACCGAAUUCAGACAAACUCCGAAUGCCAAUUAAUUUAACUUGGGAGUCAGAACAUGGGUGAUAAGGUCCGUGUUCGAAAGGGAAACAGCCCAGACCACCAGCUAAGGUCCCAAAAUAUAUGUUAAGUGGAAAAGGAUGUGGCGUUGCCCAGACAACUAGGAUGUUGGCUUAGAAGCAGCCAUCAUUUAAAGAGUGCGUAAUAGCUCACUAGUCGAGUGACACUGCGCCGAAAAUGUACCGGGGCUAAACAUAUUACCGAAGCUGUGGAUUGUCCUUUGGACAAUGGUAGGAGAGCGUUCUAAGGGCGUUGAAGCAUGAUCGUAAGGACAUGUGGAGCGCUUAGAAGUGAGAAUGCCGGUGUGAGUAGCGAAAGACGGGUGAGAAUCCCGUCCACCGAUUGACUAAGGUUUCCAGAGGAAGGCUCGUCCGCUCUGGGUUAGUCGGGUCCUAAGCUGAGGCCGACAGGCGUAGGCGAUGGAUAACAGGUUGAUAUUCCUGUACCACCUAUAAUCGUUUUAAUCGAUGGGGGGACGCAGUAGGAUAGGCGAAGCGUGCGAUUGGAUUGCACGUCUAAGCAGUAAGGCUGAGUAUUAGGCAAAUCCGGUACUCAUUAAGGCUGAGCUGUGAUGGGGAGAAGACAUUGUGUCUUCGAGUCGUUGAUUUCACACUGCCGAGAAAAGCCUCUAGAUAGAAAAUAGGUGCCCGUACCGCAAACCGACACAGGUAGUCAAGAUGAGAAUUCUAAGGUGAGCGAGCGAACUCUCGUUAAGGAACUCGGCAAAAUGACCCCGUAACUUCGGGAGAAGGGGUGCUCUUUAGGGUUAACGCCCAGAAGAGCCGCAGUGAAUAGGCCCAAGCGACUGUUUAUCAAAAACACAGGUCUCUGCUAAACCGUAAGGUGAUGUAUAGGGGCUGACGCCUGCCCGGUGCUGGAAGGUUAAGAGGAGUGGUUAGCUUCUGCGAAGCUACGAAUCGAAGCCCCAGUAAACGGCGGCCGUAACUAUAACGGUCCUAAGGUAGCGAAAUUCCUUGUCGGGUAAGUUCCGACCCGCACGAAAGGCGUAACGAUUUGGGCACUGUCUCAACGAGAGACUCGGUGAAAUCAUAGUACCUGUGAAGAUGCAGGUUACCCGCGACAGGACGGAAAGACCCCGUGGAGCUUUACUGUAGCCUGAUAUUGAAAUUCGGCACAGCUUGUACAGGAUAGGUAGGAGCCUUUGAAACGUGAGCGCUAGCUUACGUGGAGGCGCUGGUGGGAUACUACCCUAGCUGUGUUGGCUUUCUAACCCGCACCACUUAUCGUGGUGGGAGACAGUGUCAGGCGGGCAGUUUGACUGGGGCGGUCGCCUCCUAAAAGGUAACGGAGGCGCUCAAAGGUUCCCUCAGAAUGGUUGGAAAUCAUUCAUAGAGUGUAAAGGCAUAAGGGAGCUUGACUGCGAGACCUACAAGUCGAGCAGGGUCGAAAGACGGACUUAGUGAUCCGGUGGUUCCGCAUGGAAGGGCCAUCGCUCAACGGAUAAAAGCUACCCCGGGGAUAACAGGCUUAUCUCCCCCAAGAGUUCACAUCGACGGGGAGGUUUGGCACCUCGAUGUCGGCUCAUCGCAUCCUGGGGCUGUAGUCGGUCCCAAGGGUUGGGCUGUUCGCCCAUUAAAGCGGUACGCGAGCUGGGUUCAGAACGUCGUGAGACAGUUCGGUCCCUAUCCGUCGUGGGCGUAGGAAAUUUGAGAGGAGCUGUCCUUAGUACGAGAGGACCGGGAUGGACAUACCUCUGGUGUACCAGUUGUCGUGCCAACGGCAUAGCUGGGUAGCUAUGUGUGGACGGGAUAAGUGCUGAAAGCAUCUAAGCAUGAAGCCCCCCUCAAGAUGAGAUUUCCCAACUUCGGUUAUAAGAUCCCUCAAAGAUGAUGAGGUUAAUAGGUUCGAGGUGGAAGCAUGGUGACAUGUGGAGCUGACGAAUACUAA
Molecule: ribosomal RNA, 2274 nt
Filed under: Staphylococcus aureus
Lineage: Bacteria; Bacillati; Bacillota; Bacilli; Caryophanales; Staphylococcaceae
Description: partial 23S ribosomal RNA
Rfam family: Bacterial large subunit ribosomal RNA
Source: RNAcentral